GGGCUCACUUCAGCAGCACAUAUACUUAAAYUGAAAUGAUACAGAGAAGAUUAGCAUGGCCCCUGCACAAGGAUGACACGCAAAUUCGUGAAGCACUCCGUUUUUUU
Urocitellus parryii (Arctic ground squirrel) is the source of this 107-nucleotide small nuclear RNA. NCBI's taxonomy places the organism in Eukaryota, Metazoa, Chordata, Mammalia, Rodentia, Sciuridae. The record is from Ensembl.